GAUGAACGCUGGCGGCGUGCCUAAUACAUGCAAGUCGAGCGAAUGGAUUAAGAGCUUGCUCUUAUGAAGUUAGCGGCGGACGGGUGAGUAACACGUGGGUAACCUGCCCAUAAGACUGGGAUAACUCCGGGAAACCGGGGCUAAUACCGGAUAAUAUUUUGAACUGCAUGGUUCAAAAUUGAAAGGCGGCUUGGGCUGUCAAUUAUGGAUGGACCCGCUUCGCAUUAGCUAGUUGGUGAGGUAACGGCUCACCAAGGCAACGAUGCGUAGCCGACCUGAGAGGUUGAUCGGCCACACUGGGACUGAGACACGGCCCAGACUCCUACGGGAGGCAGCAGUAGGGAAUCUUCCGCAAUGGACGAAGGUCUGACGGAGCAACGCCGCGUGAGUGAUGAAGGCUUUCGGGUCGUAAAACUCUGUUGUUAGGGAAGAACAAGUGCUAGUUGAAUAAGCUGGCACCUUGACGGUACCUAACCAGAAAGCCACGGCUAACUACGUGCCAGCAGCCGCCGUAA
This 515-nucleotide ribosomal RNA is filed under the name uncultured bacterium. RNAcentral describes it as "partial 16S ribosomal RNA". It matches the Rfam family "Bacterial small subunit ribosomal RNA", at positions 28 to 523 of the family's 1533-position model. The record is from RNAcentral.